AAGACUGUAGUGUAAUUUACAAGCACCAUUGAUUUUCAUUCAAUAAGUAUAUAUUUUAUAUCUUUCUUA
Molecule: transfer RNA, 69 nt
Filed under: Acanthopleura loochooana
Lineage: Eukaryota; Metazoa; Mollusca; Polyplacophora; Chitonida; Chitonidae
Description: tRNA-Glu
Source: RNAcentral